Molecule: transfer RNA, 87 nt
Filed under: Geotrichum candidum
Lineage: Eukaryota; Fungi; Ascomycota; Dipodascomycetes; Dipodascales; Dipodascaceae
Rfam family: tRNA
About the family: Transfer RNA (tRNA) molecules are approximately 80 nucleotides in length. Their secondary structure includes four short double-helical elements and three loops (D, anti-codon, and T loops). Further hydrogen bonds mediate the characteristic L-shaped molecular structure. tRNAs have two regions of fundamental functional importance: the anti-codon, which is responsible for specific mRNA codon recognition, and the 3' end, to which the tRNAs corresponding amino acid is attached (by aminoacyl-tRNA synthetases). tRNAs cope with the degeneracy of the genetic code in two manners: having more than one tRNA (with a specific anti-codon) for a particular amino acid; and 'wobble' base-pairing, i.e. permitting non-standard base-pairing at the 3rd anti-codon position.
Source: Rfam by way of RNAcentral
UUCCUUGUGGCCCAAUGGCAAGGCGUUCGCCUACGAUCAUUCUGGUUGCAUAGCGAAAGAUUCCAGGUUCGACCCCUGGCAAGGAAG